RNAcentral lists this transfer RNA (64 nucleotides) under Dipodomys ordii (Ord's kangaroo rat). It matches the Rfam family "tRNA". Rfam says of the family: Transfer RNA (tRNA) molecules are approximately 80 nucleotides in length. The record is from Rfam by way of RNAcentral. Lineage: Eukaryota; Metazoa; Chordata; Mammalia; Rodentia; Heteromyidae.
GGUGGCUCAGUGGUAGAGUGUUUGCCUUGCAUGCAUAAGGCCUGAGUUCAAUUCCUCAGCACCA